UGGGGAAUAUUGCACAAUGGGCGCAAGCCUGAUGCAGCCAUGCCGCGUGUAUGAAGAAGGCCUUCGGGUUGUAAAGUACUUUCAGCGGGGAUGAAGGGAGUAAAGUUAAUACCUUUGCUCAUUGACGUUACCCGCAGAAGAAGCACCGGCUAACUCCGUGCCAGCAGCCGCGGUAAUACGGAGGGUGCAAGGGUUAAUCGGAAUUACUGGGCGUAAAGCGCACGCAGGCGGUUUGUUAAGUCAGAUGUGAAAUCCCCGGGCUCAACCUGGGAACUGCAUCUGAUACUGGCAAGCUUGAGUCUCGUAGAGGGGGGUAGAAUUCCAGGUGUAGCGGUGAAAUGCGUAGAGAUCUGGAGGAAUACCGGUGGCGAAGGCGGCCCCCUGGACGAAGACUGACGCUCAGGUGCGAAAGCGUGGGGAGCAAACA
Molecule: ribosomal RNA, 427 nt
Filed under: uncultured bacterium
Lineage: Bacteria
Description: partial 16S ribosomal RNA
Rfam family: Bacterial small subunit ribosomal RNA
Source: RNAcentral